This 88-nucleotide transfer RNA is filed under the name Verrucomicrobiota bacterium. Its description in RNAcentral is "Verrucomicrobia bacterium (mine drainage metagenome) tRNA-Ser". It matches the Rfam family "tRNA". From Rfam's summary of the family: Transfer RNA (tRNA) molecules are approximately 80 nucleotides in length. Their secondary structure includes four short double-helical elements and three loops (D, anti-codon, and T loops). Further hydrogen bonds mediate the characteristic L-shaped molecular structure. tRNAs have two regions of fundamental functional importance: the anti-codon, which is responsible for specific mRNA codon recognition, and the 3' end, to which the tRNAs corresponding amino acid is attached (by aminoacyl-tRNA synthetases). tRNAs cope with the degeneracy of the genetic code in two manners: having more than one tRNA (with a specific anti-codon) for a particular amino acid; and 'wobble' base-pairing, i.e. permitting non-standard base-pairing at the 3rd anti-codon position. Lineage: Bacteria; Pseudomonadati; Verrucomicrobiota. The record is from RNAcentral. RNAcentral also lists the same sequence under 1 other name.
GGAGGGGUGGCAGAGUGGUCGAUCGCGCCGGUCUUGAAAACCGGAGGGCCGCAAGGUCCCGUGGGUUCGAAUCCCACCCCCUCCGCCA